GGAGGGAGGAACGAGCUUCAGCCGUCGUCUGCGCACUCUGACCCGGGAGGCGAGGAGAAGAAUGGCAGCCUCAGAAGCCCGUCUCCCUAAACUAUCACGACGAGAAAAGUAAUGAAAUAACCGCCAUAUUUCAUCGAUUUUAAUAUGCUACAUCUAUGGAAUGGCUAUAGGACAUAUCAAGAUUUUUUGUUGUUUUAUUUUUCUUUUGUAGCUUAUCUAGCGAUGUUUUGGUUAUUUGGAACUGUUUUACUCAAAUAUUUGACAUCUAAAAUCUUUGGCGUUGCAGAUGAUAAAAUCAGUGACACGAACAGAUAUCUGCACGCCAAUGUUCAUAGCAGCAUUAUUCACA
This is a long non-coding RNA of Choloepus didactylus (southern two-toed sloth), 349 nucleotides long. RefSeq lists it as uncharacterized. The record is from RefSeq and is a predicted model, not a curated record. Lineage: Eukaryota; Metazoa; Chordata; Mammalia; Pilosa; Megalonychidae. The transcript has 3 exons.